GAUGAACGCUAGCUACAGGCUUAACACAUGCAAGUCGAGGGGAAACGACAUCGAAAGCUUGCUUUUGAUGGGCGUCGACCUGCGCACGGGUGAGUAACGCGUAUCCAACCUGCCCAUCACUUGGGGAUAACCUUGCGAAAGUAAGACUAAUACCCAAUGAUAUCUCUAGAAGACAUCUGAAAGAGAUUAAAGAUUUAUCGGUGAUGGAUGGGGAUGCGUCUGAUUAGCUUGUUGGCGGGGUAACGGCCCACCAAGGCAACGAUCAGUAGGGGUUCUGAGAGGAAGGUCCCCCACAUUGGAACUGAGACACGGUCCAAACUCCUACGGGAGGCAGCAGUGAGGAAUAUUGGUCAAUGGGCGAGAGCCUGAACCAGCCAAGUAGCGUGCAGGAAGACGGCCCUAUGGGUUGUAAACUGCUUUUAUAAGGGAAUAAAGUGAGAGUCGUGACUCUUUUUGUAUGUACCUUAUGAAUAAGAACCGGCUAAUUCCGUG
Molecule: ribosomal RNA, 492 nt
Filed under: uncultured bacterium
Lineage: Bacteria
Description: partial 16S ribosomal RNA
Rfam family: Bacterial small subunit ribosomal RNA
Source: RNAcentral